CAGCCGCCACGGGAAUACGUAGGGUGCAAGCGUUAAUCGGAAUUACUGGGCGUAAAGCGUGCGCAGGCGGUUAUAUAAGUCAGAUGUGAAAUCCCCGGGCUCAACCUGGGAACUGCAUUUGAGACUGUAUGGCUAGAGUGUGCCAGAGGGGGGUAGAAUUCCACGUGUAGCAGUGAAAUGCGUAGAUAUGUGGAGGAAUACCGAUGGCGAAGGCAGCCCCCUGGGAUAACACUGACGCUCAUGCACGAAAGCGUGGGGAGCAAACAGGAUUAGAUACCCCUGUAGUCCCUGUCUCUUAUAA
Molecule: ribosomal RNA, 301 nt
Filed under: uncultured bacterium
Lineage: Bacteria
Description: partial 16S ribosomal RNA
Rfam family: Bacterial small subunit ribosomal RNA
Source: RNAcentral